GGGUUGUGAGGUUAAGCGACUAAGCGUACACGGUGGAUGCCCUGGCAGUCAGAGGCGAUGAAGGACGUGCUAAUCUGCGAAAAGCGCCGGCGAGGUGAUAUGAACCUUUGACCCGGCGAUGUCCGAAUGGGGAAACCCAGUGUGAUUCGUCACACUAUCGUUAACUGAAUACAUAGGUUAACGAGGCGAACCGGGGGAACUGAAACAUCUAAGUACCCCGAGGAAAAGAAAUCAACCGAGAUUCCCCCAGUAGCGGCGAGCGAACGGGGAGCAGCCCAGAGUCUGAAUCAGCUUGUGUGUUAGUGGAAGCGUCUGGAAAGUCGCACGGUACAGGGUGACAGUCCCGUACACGAAAGCACACAGGUUGUGAACUCGAAGAGUAGGGCGGGACACGUGGUAUCCUGUCUGAAUAUGGGGGGACCAUCCUCCAAGGCUAAAUACUCCUGACUGACCGAUAGUGAACCAGUACCGUGAGGGAAAGGCGAAAAGAACCCCGGCGAGGGGAGUGAAAAAGAACCUGAAACCGUGUACGUACAAGCAGUGGGAGCACCUUCGUGGUGUGACUGCGUACCUUUUGUAUAAUGGGUCAGCGACUUAUAUUCUGUAGCAAGGUUAACCGUAUAGGGGAGCCGAAGGGAAACCGAGUCUUAACUGGGCGUUAAGUUGCAGGGUAUAGACCCGAAACCCGGUGAUCUAGCCAUGGGCAGGUUGAAGGUUGGGUAACACUAACUGGAGGACCGAACCGACUAAUGUUGAAAAAUUAGCGGAUGACUUGUGGCUGGGGGUGAAAGGCCAAUCAAACCGGGAGAUAGCUGGUUCUCCCCGAAAGCUAUUUAGGUAGCGCCUCGUGAACUCAUCUUCGGGGGUAGAGCACUGUUUCGGCUAGGGGGCCAUCCCGGCUUACCAACCCGAUGCAAACUACGAAUACCGAAGAAUGUUAUCACGGGAGACACACGGCGGGUGCUAACGUCCGUCGUGAAGAGGGAAACAACCCAGACCGCCAGCUAAGGUCCCAAAGUCAUGGUUAAGUGGGAAACGAUGUGGGAAGGCACAGACAGCCAGGAUGUUGGCUUAGAAGCAGCCAUCAUUUAAAGAAAGCGUAAUAGCUCACUGGUCGAGUCGGCCUGCGCGGAAGAUGUAACGGGGCUAAACCAUGCACCGAAGCUGCGGCAGCGACGCUUAUGCGUUGUUGGGUAGGGGAGCGUUCUGUAAGCCGUUGAAGGUGUGCUGUGAGGCAUGCUGGAGGUAUCAGAAGUGCGAAUGCUGACAUAAGUAACGAUAAAGCGGGUGAAAAGCCCGCUCGCCGGAAGACCAAGGGUUCCUGUCCAACGUUAAUCGGGGCAGGGUGAGUCGACCCCUAAGGCGAGGCCGAAAGGCGUAGUCGAUGGGAAACAGGUUAAUAUUCCUGUACUUGGUGUUACUGCGAAGGGGGGACGGAGAAGGCUAUGUUAGCCGGGCGACGGUUGUCCCGGUUUAAGCAUGUAGGCGGAACGAUUAGGUAAAUCCGGUCGUUUAUUAACGCUGAGGUGUGAUGACGAGGCACUACGGUGCUGAAGUAACAAAUGCCCUGCUUCCAGGAAAAGCCUCUAAGCAUCAGGUAACAUCAAAUCGUACCCCAAACCGACACAGGUGGUCAGGUAGAGAAUACCAAGGCGCUUGAGAGAACUCGGGUGAAGGAACUAGGCAAAAUGGUGCCGUAACUUCGGGAGAAGGCACGCUGAUAUGUAGGUGAAGCCCCUGCGGGUGGAGCUGAAAUCAGUCGAAGAUACCAGCUGGCUGCAACUGUUUAUUAAAAACACAGCACUGUGCAAACACGAAAGUGGACGUAUACGGUGUGACGCCUGCCCGGUGCCGGAAGGUUAAUUGAUGGGGUUAGCGGUAACGCGAAGCUCUUGAUCGAAGCCCCGGUAAACGGCGGCCGUAACUAUAACGGUCCUAAGGUAGCGAAAUUCCUUGUCGGGUAAGUUCCGACCUGCACGAAUGGCGUAAUGAUGGCCAGGCUGUCUCCACCCGAGACUCAGUGAAAUUGAACUCGCUGUGAAGAUGCAGUGUACCCGCGGCAAGACGGAAAGACCCCGUGAACCUUUACUAUAGCUUGACACUGAACACUGGUCCUUGAUGUGUAGGAUAGGUGGGAGGCUUUGAAGUGUGGACGCCAGUCUGCAUGGAGCCGUCCUUGAAAUACCACCCUUUAAUGGCUGGUGUUCUAACGUAGACCCGUGAUCCGGGUUGCGGACAGUGUCUGGUGGGUAGUUUGACUGGGGCGGUCUCCUCCCAAAGAGUAACGGAGGAGCACGAAGGUUAGCUAAUCCUGGUCGGACAUCAGGAGGUUAGUGCAAUGGCAUAAGCUAGCUUGACUGCGAGAGUGACGGCUCGAGCAGGUGCGAAAGCAGGUCAUAGUGAUCCGGUGGUUCUGAAUGGAAGGGCCAUCGCUCAACGGAUAAAAGGUACUCCGGGGAUAACAGGCUGAUACCGCCCAAGAGUUCAUAUCGACGGCGGUGUUUGGCACCUCGAUGUCGGCUCAUCACAUCCUGGGGCUGAAGUAGGUCCCAAGGGUAUGGCUGUUCGCCAUUUAAAGUGGUACGCGAGCUGGGUUUAGAACGUCGUGAGACAGUUCGGUCCCUAUCUGCCGUGGGCGCUGGAGAAUUGAGGGGGGCUGCUCCUAGUACGAGAGGACCGGAGUGGACGCAUCACUGGUGUUCGGGUUGUCAUGCCAAUGGCACUGCCCGGUAGCUAAAUGCGGAAAAGAUAAGUGCUGAAAGCAUCUAAGCACGAAACUUGCCCCGAGAUGAGUUCUCCCUGAGACUUUAAGUCUCCUGAAGGAACGUUGAAGACGACGACGUUGAUAGGUCGGGUGUGUAAGCGCAGCGAUGCGUUGAGCUAACCGAUACUAAUGAACCGUGAGGCUUAACCUUACAACGCCGAAGGUGUUU
RNAcentral lists this ribosomal RNA (2933 nucleotides) under Enterobacter cloacae. RNAcentral describes it as "23S ribosomal RNA". It matches the Rfam family "Bacterial large subunit ribosomal RNA". Lineage: Bacteria; Pseudomonadati; Pseudomonadota; Gammaproteobacteria; Enterobacterales; Enterobacteriaceae. The record is from RNAcentral.